RNAcentral lists this microRNA precursor (65 nucleotides) under Gadus morhua (Atlantic cod). RNAcentral's name for it is "Gmo-Mir-130-P3b1_pre stem-loop". The record is from RNAcentral. Lineage: Eukaryota; Metazoa; Chordata; Actinopteri; Gadiformes; Gadidae.
ACCCUAUCAGUAUUGCCCCUGCUGUCCACUGAGUUCAGAGUAGUGCAAUAUUGCUUAUAGGGUUU